Non-coding RNA from Lysinibacillus macroides, 102 nucleotides. Lineage: Bacteria; Bacillati; Bacillota; Bacilli; Caryophanales; Bacillaceae. The record is from Rfam.
AUAAAAUGCAAGGAUUGCUUUCAUAUAAGUUCGAUAAUAGGGUUCGAAUGUUUCUACGAAAUCGCCAUAAAUGAUUUCUCUAUGAGGGUGGAUGUUUUAUUU